This is a long non-coding RNA of Mobula hypostoma (lesser devil ray), 796 nucleotides long. RefSeq lists it as uncharacterized. NCBI's taxonomy places the organism in Eukaryota, Metazoa, Chordata, Chondrichthyes, Myliobatiformes, Myliobatidae. The transcript has 3 exons. The record is from RefSeq and is a predicted model, not a curated record.
UUCUAGUCCUGGAUGGUUGUCAACCAAAACAAACUCCUGUUGGUGUCUGCCCUAACAAUCUUUUUCUUAAUCUAUUUGUGUUUAGAAAUUUACAAACAGGGAAUAAAGUUCCAGCCAUUCAGUGAUCACCUCACUCUUCUAACUGAUGACUUUCUGAAGUCAGUUUUGAUCGAGCAAUAAUUACUUUGCUGUAGACUACAGUUUAACUGCACCUGAUCCAAGGAAAUCCUCCACUAACUUGAAUGGCAGCCAUGACAUCCAGACCUUGGGGAAAGAGGAAGACAAUCCCACACCACGAACGUGAUGGAAUAACAAUGGCAAAUCGAACUUACAUUGCAGCUUAAACAAGAGUGGAGACAAAGCAUUCUAUUAAUGUGCAAUAUUGCGGCCCUGUGGACGACCAAUUCCAGGCCGGUUUUGCCACGAGAUUUGGAACACCAGGAUUUCGCUGAGGCAGAUGUAUGGACGGAGGUCUCUGUUGUUGAAUGGUUGCAUCCUCUCUCUCUUCCUCUGAUGAUGGUGGGAGAGUUUGCUGCUGAUUCUCCUGUAGGAGAAUCCCGGUAUAAGAAGCGACGUGGCAGACUGUGACAUUGUAACAGCGACUCUCGUUCUCCUCCUUCGCUGUGAAAAUGGGAGAUGCCGCUCUGUCCUUUGUUAGUGGGGCAUGGUGAACUAUCGGGUAAACAAUCAUUUUUGUUGAUUGCAGAUCAUGGUCUCUCUUUGGGUGCUUUGCUGUUGUUUGGCGGGUGGUGUAUCCUGAUGCUUUUUGCUGAAAUGGGUGGGGGAAGGCCGAUGC